GCUGGCGUAGCUCAACUGGUAGAGCAGCUGACUUGUAAUCAGCAGGUUGCGGGUUCAAGUCCCAUCGCCAGCUCCA
This 76-nucleotide transfer RNA is filed under the name Desulfomicrobium sp. RNAcentral's name for it is "tRNA-Thr". It matches the Rfam family "tRNA". From Rfam's summary of the family: Transfer RNA (tRNA) molecules are approximately 80 nucleotides in length. Their secondary structure includes four short double-helical elements and three loops (D, anti-codon, and T loops). Lineage: Bacteria; Pseudomonadati; Thermodesulfobacteriota; Desulfovibrionia; Desulfovibrionales; Desulfomicrobiaceae. The record is from RNAcentral. RNAcentral also lists the same sequence under 9 other names.